RNAcentral lists this ribosomal RNA (784 nucleotides) under uncultured bacterium. RNAcentral describes it as "bacterial SSU rRNA". It matches the Rfam family "Bacterial small subunit ribosomal RNA", at positions 8 to 794 of the family's 1533-position model. The record is from RNAcentral.
AGAGUUUGAUCAUGGCUCAGGAUGAACGCUGGCGGCGUGCUUAACACAUUCAAGUCGAACGGGGUCUUUUUGGGAGCUUGCUUUUGAGAAGACUUAGUGGCGGACGGGUGAGUAAUGCAUGAGCAACCUGCCUUCAGGAGGGGGAUAACAUCGGGAAACCGGUGCUAAUACCGCAUAGAGCAUUUUGCAGGCAUCUGCGAGAUGGGAAAGGAGCGAUCCGCCUGGAGAUGGGCUCAUGUCUGAUUAGAUAGUUGGUAGGGUAACGGCCUACCAAGUCUGCGAUCAGUAGCCGGACUGAGAGGUCGAACGGCCACAUUGGAACUGAGAUACGGUCCAGACUCCUACGGGAGGCAGCAGUGGGGAAUAUUGGGCAAUGGGCGAAAGCCUGACCCAGCGACGCCGCGUGAGGGAAGAAGGUCUUCGGAUUGUAAACCUUUGUCAACAGGGACGAAGAAGUGACGGUACCUGUGGAGGAAGCCACGGCUAACUACGUGCCAGCAGCCGCGGUAAUACGUAGGUGGCGAGCGUUAUCCGGAUUUACUGGGUGUAAAGGGUGAGUAGGCGGGAAGUCAAGUCAGAUGUGAAAUACCGCGGCUUAACUGCGGGACUGCAUUUGAAACUGAUUUUUCUUGAGAGUCGGAGAGGCAACGGAAUUCCUAGUGUAGCGGGUGAAAUGCGUAGAUAUUAGGAGGGAACACCGGUGGCGAAAGGGGGAUUUGCUGGACGACAACUGACGCUGAGACACGAAGCGUGGGGAGCAAACUGGAUUAGAUACCCUGGUAGU